Molecule: ribosomal RNA, 460 nt
Filed under: uncultured bacterium
Lineage: Bacteria
Description: partial 16S ribosomal RNA
Rfam family: Bacterial small subunit ribosomal RNA
Source: RNAcentral
CCUACGGGUGGCAGCAGUGAGGAAUAUUGGUCAAUGGGCGCGAGCCUGAACCAGCCAAGCAGCGUGAAGGAUGACUGCUCUAUGGGUUGUAAACUUUUUUUAUAUGGGAAUAAAAUGUUCCACGUGUGGGAUUUUGUACGUACCAUAUGAAUAAGGAUCGGCUAACUCCGUGACAGCAGCCGCGGUAAUACGGAGGGUCCGAGCGUUAUCCGGAUUUAUUGGGUUUAAAGGGAGCGUAGGUGGAUUGUUAAGUCAGGUGUGAAAGUUUGCGGCUCAACCGUAAAAUUGCAGUUGAAACUGGCAGGCUGGAGUGCAGUAGAGGUAAGCGGAAUUCGUGGUGUAGCGGUGAAAUGCUUAGAUAUCACGAAGAACUCCGAUUGCGAAGGCAGUUCACUGGACUGCAACUGACGCUGAGGCUCGAAAGUGUGGGUAUCAAACAGGAUUAGAUACCCUUGUAGUC